Molecule: long non-coding RNA, 762 nt
Organism: Mesocricetus auratus (golden hamster)
Lineage: Eukaryota; Metazoa; Chordata; Mammalia; Rodentia; Cricetidae
Exons: 2
Source: RefSeq, a predicted model, not a curated record
AUUUCCUCAGCUGAGGCUCCUUCCUCUGAUGACUUUAGCUUGUGUCAAGUUGACACACAAAACCAGCCAGUACAGUCUGCAUCUUCUAGCUUCUGGGACUGUCUUGAUACCCGACAGAGGCUGUCACCUCAGCUGUUGGUCCAGGAUAUAGCGCGGUGACCCCACCUCUAAAGUGCUGCCUGGGCAGCCUCCAUCCUGGAGAGGUGCUGGGUUUCCUGACCUGAGUCCCGCUCCCACGAGCUGCUGAGUGAGUGCCUUCUCAUGCGGACAGUGUUCUGAUGAUGUCCCCAUCAUCCACUGAGUGGAUCCACGAUGCCCUCUAACCUUUUCCUGUGAAGACUUGCAGCGAGCUGACAGGAUGUGGUCUCCCGGGCUGUGGGAGGUCUUCUUGCAACUUCAGAGAAACGGUGCCCAAGGCUGAAACUUGCUGAGAGCAGAGCAAAGCACUGCCUGGGGACAGCAGAGCAAAGCACUGCCUGGGGACCUGUGCGUGACUCCUUCCCUCCUCUCCCUCUCCCAUACCCUGCGUAAAUGAACCUCUGCCUCUGAACUUCCAUCUACGCAGGCCAGGUUGAAUCAGCACAACUCCUGUUAUCUCCCAUGCACACCCCUCCAAAAAAGAUUUACUAAUGGCGCUUUGACAGGGAGGACAACACGAACAAAUCAUGUGCCCAACCCAGUUUGUCUCCCAUCCCACUUUGAAAAAUCAAGUCUUUGAGUCCAGAAUAGCGAAACGGUUUAAUAAAACAAUCCGUGUCCGGA